UACGUAGGGUCCGAGCGUUGUCCGGAAUUAUUGGGCGUAAAGAGCUCGUAGGCGGUUUGUCGCGUCUGCUGUGAAAUCCCGAGGCUCAACCUCGGGCCUGCAGUGGGUACGGGCAGACUGGAGUGCGGUAGGGGAGAAUGGAAUUCCUGGUGUAGCGGUGGAAUGCGCAGAUAUCAGGAGGAACACCGAUGGCGAAGGCAGUUCUCUGGGCCGUAACUGACGCUGAGGAGCGAAAGCUAGGGGAGCAAACGGG
Molecule: ribosomal RNA, 253 nt
Filed under: uncultured bacterium
Lineage: Bacteria
Description: partial 16S ribosomal RNA
Rfam family: Bacterial small subunit ribosomal RNA
Source: RNAcentral